UACGGAGGUGGCAAGCGUUGCUCGGAUUUACUGGGUGUAAAGGGCACGUAGGCGGUCUCGUAAGCCCCACCUGAAAUGCUCCGGCUUAACCGGAGCAGGUGGUGGGGGACUGCAAGACUUGAGGACGGGAGAGGUGAGCGGAAUUCCCGGUGUAAGGGUGAAAUCUGUAGAGAUCGGGAGGAACACCCGUGGCGAAAGCGGCUCACUGGCCCGUUUCUGACGCUGAGGUGCGAAAGCUAGGGGAGCAAACAGG
Molecule: ribosomal RNA, 253 nt
Filed under: uncultured bacterium
Lineage: Bacteria
Description: partial 16S ribosomal RNA
Rfam family: Bacterial small subunit ribosomal RNA
Source: RNAcentral